This 510-nucleotide ribosomal RNA is filed under the name uncultured bacterium. RNAcentral describes it as "partial 16S ribosomal RNA". It matches the Rfam family "Bacterial small subunit ribosomal RNA", at positions 355 to 858 of the family's 1533-position model. The record is from RNAcentral.
UGGGGAAUUUUGGACAAUGGGCGCAAGCCUGAUCCAGCCAUGCCGCGUGCGGGAAGAAGGCCUUCGGGUUGUAAACCGCUUUUGUCAGGGAAGAAAUCUUCUGAGUUAAUACCUCGGGAGGAUGACGGUACCUGAAGAAUAAGCACCGGCUAACUACGUGCCAGCAGCCGCGGUAAUACGUAGGGUGCAAGCGUUAAUCGGAAUACUGGGCGUAAAGCGUGCGCAGGCGGUUUUGUAAGACAGAGGUGAAAUCCCCGGGCUCAACCUGGGAACUGCCUUUGUGACUGCAAGGCUUGAGUGCGGCAGAGGGGGGAUGGAAUUCCGCGUGUAGCAGUGAAAUGCGUAGAUAUGCGGAGGAACACCGAUGGCGAAGGCAAUCCCCUGGGCCUGCACUGACGCUCAUGCACGAAAGCGUGGGGAGCAAACAGGAUUAGAUGCCCUGGUAGUCCACGCCCUAAGCGAUGUCAACUGGUUGUUGGGAAGGUUCCUUCUCAGUAACGUAGCUAACGC